GGCGCAUAAGUAACAGGUCGUAGACCCGAAACCAGGUGAUCUACCCAUGUCCAGGAUGAAGGUAAGGUAAUACUUACUGGAGGUCCGAACCCACGCACGUUGAAAAGUGCGGGGAUGAGGUGUGGGUAGCGGAGAAAUUCCAAUCGAACUUGGAGAUAGCUGGUUCUCUCCGAAAUAGCUUUAGGGCUAGCCUCGAGGUAAAGAGUCAUGGAGGUAGAGCACUGUUUGGACUAGGGGCCCUUCUCGGGUUACCGAAUUCAGAUAAACUCCGAAUGCCAUGUACUUAUACUCGGGAGUCAGACUGCGAGUGAUAAGAUCCGUAGUCGAAAGGGAAACAGCCCAGACCACCAGUUAAGGUCCCCAAAUAUAUGUUAAGUGGAAAAGGAUGUGGGGUUGCUUAGACAACCAGGAUGUUGGCUUAGAAGCAGCCACCAUUGAAAGAGUGCGUAAUAGCUCACUGGUCGAGUGACCCCGCGCCGAAAAUGUACCGGGGCUAAACAUAUUACCGAAACUGUGGAUGAACCUCUUUAGAGGUUCGUGGUAGGAGAGCGUUCUAAGGGCGGUGAAGUCAGACCGGAAGGACUGGUGGAGCGCUUAGAAGUGAGAAUGCCGGUAUGAGUAGCGAAAGAAGGGUGAGAAUCCCUUCCACCGAAUAUCUAAGGUUUCCUGAGGAAGGCUCGUCCGCUC
RNAcentral lists this ribosomal RNA (687 nucleotides) under Listeria monocytogenes. RNAcentral describes it as "partial 23S ribosomal RNA". It matches the Rfam family "Bacterial large subunit ribosomal RNA", at positions 691 to 1375 of the family's 2925-position model. The record is from RNAcentral. Lineage: Bacteria; Bacillati; Bacillota; Bacilli; Caryophanales; Listeriaceae.